Molecule: non-coding RNA, 46 nt
Organism: Schistosoma haematobium
Lineage: Eukaryota; Metazoa; Platyhelminthes; Trematoda; Strigeidida; Schistosomatidae
Source: Rfam
GCACUGCUGAGGAGUCCCACAAUAGGACGAAACAGUCGUCCAUUGC